CUGGUUGAUCCUGACAGUAGUCAUAUGCUUGUCUCAAAAAUUAGGCCAUGCAUGUCUCAGUACAAGCCAAAUAAGGUGAAACCGCGAAGGGCUCAUUAAAUCAGUUAUGGCUCCUUAGAUGGUCCCCACAUUUACUUGGACAACUGUGGUAAUUCUAGAGCUAAUACAUGAAAACAGAGCUCCGACCGGAGACGGAAGGAGCGGUUUCGCCGUCAUCGUACAACUUGGUGAAUCUGAAUAACUUUCCGCAGAUCGCACGGUCUCGCACCGGCGACGCAUCUUUCAAAUGACUGCCUUACCGACUGUCGAUGAUAGGUUCUGCGCCUACCAUGGUUGUAACGGGUAACGGGGAAUCAGGGUUCGGUUCCGGAGAGGGAGCCUGAGAAACGGCUACCACAUCCCAGGAAUGUGGUAGCCAAGGAAUGCCAAAAACGCUUUCAUUGAUCAAGAACGAAAGUUAGAGGUUCGAAGGCGAUCGGAUACCGCCCUAGUUCUAACGAUAAACGAUGCCAGCUAGCGAUCCGCCGAUGUUCCUCCGAUGAUUCGGCGGGCAGCUUCCGGGAAACCCAAGCUUUUGGGUUCCG
Molecule: ribosomal RNA, 584 nt
Organism: Tribolium castaneum (red flour beetle)
Lineage: Eukaryota; Metazoa; Arthropoda; Insecta; Coleoptera; Tenebrionidae
Rfam family: Eukaryotic small subunit ribosomal RNA
Source: Rfam